RNAcentral lists this ribosomal RNA (253 nucleotides) under uncultured bacterium. Its description in RNAcentral is "partial 16S ribosomal RNA". It matches the Rfam family "Bacterial small subunit ribosomal RNA", at positions 524 to 776 of the family's 1533-position model. The record is from RNAcentral.
CACAGAGGGUGCGAGCGUUGUUCGGAAUUAUUGGGCGUAAAGGGCGCGUAGGCGGUGCGGUAAGUCACCUGUGAAAUCUCCUGGCUCAACUGGGAGCUUGCAGGCGAAACUGCCGUGCUGGAGUGUGGGAGAGGUGCGUGGAAUUCCUGGUGUAGCGGUGAAAUGCGUAGAUAUCAGGAGGAACACCUGUGGCGAAAGCGGCGCACUGGACCACAACUGACGCUGAGGCGCGAAAGCUAGGGGAGCAAACAGG